Molecule: ribosomal RNA, 253 nt
Filed under: uncultured bacterium
Lineage: Bacteria
Description: partial 16S ribosomal RNA
Rfam family: Bacterial small subunit ribosomal RNA
Source: RNAcentral
UACGGGGGGGGCAAGCGUUGUUCGGAAUUACUGGGCGUAAAGGGCUCGUAGGCGGCCAACUAAGUCCGACGUGAAAUCCCCAGGCUUAACCUGGGAACUGCGUCGGAUACUGGAUGGCUUGAAUCCGGGAGAGGGAUGCGGAAUUCCAGGUGUAGCGGUGAAAUGCGUAGAUAUCUGGAGGAACACCGGUGGCGAAGGCGGCAUCCUGGACCGGUAUUGACGCUGAGGAGCGAAAGCCAGGGGAGCAAACGGG